Molecule: ribosomal RNA, 253 nt
Filed under: uncultured prokaryote
Description: partial 16S ribosomal RNA
Rfam family: Bacterial small subunit ribosomal RNA
Source: RNAcentral
UACGUAGGGACCAAGCGUUGUUCGGAUUUACUGGGCGUAAAGGGCGCGUAGGCGGCAAUUCAAGUCAUCUGUGAAAUCUCCGGGCUUAACUCGGAACGGUCAAGUGAUACUGUCGGACUAGAGUACAGAAGGGGCAACUGGAAUUCUCGGUGUAGCGGUGAAAUGCGUAGAUAUCGAGAGGAACACCUGCGGCGAAGGCGGGUUGCUGGGCUGAUACUGACGCUGAGGCGCGAAAGCUAGGGGAGCGAACGGG